AUUGAACGCUGGCGGCAUGCUUUAUACAUGCAAGUCGAACGGUAACAGGCCUUCGGGUGCUGAUGAGUGGCGAACGGGUGAGUAAUGCAUCGGAACGUACCCAGAGGUGGGGGAUAACGCAGCGAAAGCUGUGCUAAUACCGCAUGUGAUCUGAGGAUGAAAGCGGGGGACCGAGUAGCAAUGUUUGGCCUCGCGCCUUUGGAGUGGCCGAUGUCGGUUUAGCUAGUUGGUGGGGUAAAGGCCUACCAAGGCGACGAUCCGUAGCUGGUCGGAGAGGACGGCCAGCGACACUAGGGCUGGGACGGGGCCCAGGCGCCUGCGAGAGGCACCAGUGGGGAAUUUUGGGCAGUAGGCGCGAGCCUGGUCCAACAGUGGCGCGUGCGAGAAGGCAGCCUUCGGGGUGGGAACCGCUUUUGGCAGGAACGAAACGGUGUCCGCUAAUACCAGGCGCUAAUGACGGUACCUGCAGAAUAAGCACCGGCUAACUACGUG
This 492-nucleotide ribosomal RNA is filed under the name uncultured bacterium. RNAcentral describes it as "partial 16S ribosomal RNA". It matches the Rfam family "Bacterial small subunit ribosomal RNA", at positions 28 to 507 of the family's 1533-position model. The record is from RNAcentral.